UUUAGAUAUUUACAUACAUGUAUACGUUUCAUAUUAACACACUUGAGAUAAUAUCAUGAACGGUAUUUUUACUAGUUGCAAAUUACAAGUUACUAGUGCUAGCAAUUUUUUACACGAAAGUAAGAAGGUUAGAAAUAAAACACCAAAGAGAUGUUCAAGCACGAAGAUUGACGCAAUGGCGGGAUCUUUGAGGGGAAUUUCCGUGAAUUUUCGCAAGGAAACGAGCACGCGGCAUCCCGUCUCGAAAGUUUUCCUUUCAGAUCUCCACCGAUUCGUAAACGAAGAUUUCGACUUCAACGUUUCGCGUUCGCAUCGUUCGUAAACAAAGUCUGUGCAGUGCGUGGGUCGUCGUGCCUAGAAGAAUUUCGCGAAUGUUCGCAAUAUUUCGCGUCCGAUUCACCGAUAAAGAUUGAAGUCUCCAGCGAUUCUAUUGCGGUCGCCUAUAUGUUUCGCGGAAUUUCCAGCGGAAUGAAAUGCCGCUUCGUCCAACUAUCGGCCGAACUCUCAACUAUUCCUCAGAUCUUCAACUAAAGCUAAAAGAGAUCCCGGUCAGAGAUGAAAGGAACCUAGCAAGGACAAAGAAAGAAGGUCCUGCUUCUGCCGACUUAGUCCUUGGAAUUCAGCCAAUUCGUAUAAGAGCUCUGUCCGCUUUUCCCGUCAGCGAACUAUUUAUCUGAGAGAGUACAGACUCUGCUGUUUUGUCUUUAGGAUCGAUCAUUCGAAGACAGUUUAUUUUUUUAAUUCUAUUAGAAUGUCCCAAUCGUAAAAAUAGCCUGAUGAGCGUUAAGUUUGGAAUCUAUUUUCAAUUUUUACGGGGAAGCAAUAUUUGGAAUAUUUCACAUUUGCAAUGUUCAAUUUAAGAAAUCAUCAAAUUUAAGAUGUUAUUUGGAAAUCGAAUAAUUUUUUAUGAUCAUUUUUCGUAUUACCUACGUAGCUUGUUAUAAUGAAAAUUUCAAUUGCUCGCAAACUAUUCGAAUUUUGUACAUUUAUUUUCGAAUGCGUAUUCCUGACUGCCAUUUCUAUCGAUACAUCAUUUUUGACAAGAAAUACGAUGUAGACGUAAAAAGAGGGAGUAAAGCUGUACGAGUUGCAAGAAACGAAUGAAUCCACCCUUUUGUACGUGCAUCCCUUGCAUGAAAUACAAUGAGCAGCAGUUUUAACAGCUGCGUCACUUGUAGCGUACACAUUUAUUACUAUCGCGCGUGAUUAAUUGCUAUUUUGUUCUUUCAUCGUGUGUUUUGUAUUCUUGUGCGGACUUUUUAAAAAACUAGAAAUCAUAAAUAUAAUAUUUUGUAUCGCGGAGAGGCGUGUGGCACUGACUAGCAUACAGUACCAACCAAAAUUAGUUCUGCGUCUUUUCACCAGAUGCUAGUACAUUGCUUUUAUUUGUUAUAAAAAAAUGAAAAUAAUAAUUCUGUGUAACAUAUUUCAGAGUCAUAUUGUUUAUUCCAUUAUUUUCGCUCUUCUGGCACGUUAAAUGUAUACGUUGAUAUUUCGGGUGUAAAAAGUUAUCUUCUAGAGCUGAUAUUUUCUUUCUCAGUUAAGUAAAUGAUCUUUUUCUGUUAUGUCUACUAUAUCUAGUUGUCAGCCCCAGUAUUGCGACUUUUUCUUGUAUAUUAUAUACAUUAUAAUCUAAACGUUUCCAUAUGUUUGUUAUCUCGUACCAAUCAUUCAGCCAUCGACCAGUACAGAUUACACUUUUUUAUCUGUUAAUUUAAUUUGUUGGCAAUUGAAAUUAAAUUAGAAGAUGUUUAUUUACUCUUUCUUUUACCUUUUGUCUAAAAUUCCAAAACAGAAAGAAAGAAAAUUGACAGACGAGAACAAUGUUGAAUGUGGCUUUGAAGCUACUCCCCGAAAAUAAAAUGAGCCAAAGGCAAGCUGCUGAGGCUUUCAAUGUUUCAAAAAUGACGAAUGUAAAAGCUAGGCACACGUCGAAUACACUAAGACUAAGAAAACAUUAAUUAUUGUACUUGCGAUGCAUAUUAGAAUAAAAUUUGAAUAAUAAUGUA
Long non-coding RNA from Bombus terrestris (buff-tailed bumblebee), 2009 nucleotides. RefSeq lists it as uncharacterized. The transcript is spliced from 2 exons. NCBI's taxonomy places the organism in Eukaryota, Metazoa, Arthropoda, Insecta, Hymenoptera, Apidae. The record is from RefSeq and is a predicted model, not a curated record.